Long non-coding RNA from Polistes dominula (European paper wasp), 1024 nucleotides. NCBI's taxonomy places the organism in Eukaryota, Metazoa, Arthropoda, Insecta, Hymenoptera, Vespidae. The record is from RefSeq and is a predicted model, not a curated record.
AUUAACUUUUAUAAAUAAUCUAUUAUAAAUAAAUCAAAGUAUUACUUGUUAUUAAAUGAAGUAUUAAUGAGUUGCUUUUUAUGUGAUACUUUUUACACAUAUAUAGAUAUAAGAACAAAAAGAGACAUGUGGACAAACAAUUAGAAUAAUAAUAAUAAUAAUAAAAAAAAAAAGGAAAACGAAAUAACAAAGGAUGAUAAAUGAUAGGAUUAUGAUAGAUGAAAAGUAGUUAAUUGUAGUAGUUAAUGUAUCGUAUAAAGUAGUAGUAGUAGUAGUAGUAGUAGUGUAUAGUAUAUAUAGUAUAUUUGCGGUUUCGCAUAGUGUCUAUCCUUGUCUCUCUGUCACAUUUUCUGUCUCUUUCUAUCUCUCUCUCUCUUUUUCAAAGUUAAACGCUUGAGCAGCGCAGUCAUUAUCGCGCGUGCGAGGUUACCAGUUCGCAGUCGCGUCACAGCGCCGGUGUAGACGCGUCGUCGUCGUCGUUGUCCUCCUCGUCGUCGUCUUCGUCAACGUCGUUGUGUUCUUUCCUGGAUAGAUUAAUUCCAAAAGCGGAAACUAAAAAAAAAAAAGAAAGAGGAAGAAGAAUCAUUUAGAGGAAACGUCAAACAAUUUUUCUUACCAUAUUUGAGAAGAAGAAGAAGAAGAAGAAAAAGAAAAAGAAAAAGAAGAAGAAAUAGUGAAAAUUUGAUUUGGAAAACGUUUGCAAUACAAUUGUGUUUUCAUUUAGUUACUUCCCAAUUAUUUCAUAUAUAAUUUUCAAAGAUCAUUCUAAUUCUUACUUGUCAAUCCGCCAUUAUUUUCAAUACUAUCGUUUGAAUAUUUAUUUCAAUAUCGAAGAAAGAAAAAAUACAAAAAAAAUAUAGCGAAAUGUUUCGCGAUUGGUUUCAACGUGUUCGACAAAAAUUGUCUUUCCGUUAUGUUUGAAAAUCAAACCAACAUAAAAGAAAACCAAAAAAAUGAUCGUUUAUCUCAAUUCGGGCGUUGUAAUAUCGUAGAAUAAUAAUAAUAAUAAUAAUAAUAAUAAAAA